AUGGUAUCAAUCUUGUCAUCUAAAUCUCGACAAGAAAACAAAUAAGUCUAUUUCUCGUAAUGUUGAACUAUUCCUUUAAAAUGAGGGGGACUAAACAGAAUAGAAAACACAUGCAAAUAAUGUGUAGGAUAUGUAGAGCUAUAAAACACUAUUCAAAUAUCUAGGUGGACCAUGAAAUUGUGUAUAAUUUUUAGCUCUCCCACCGUCUUACCCUAACAGAUGUAUUCAGACGGCUCACUGUGCUGCUCUCACUGGUCUGUCUCUGAAACCCUUUCACUACUUACAGUUUUGGAAGGUCGAUGAAAGUCUUGGCCUCAUGAGGUCAAUCUUGAGUGGAUACAAUAUGUGAUUACUGGUUUGCUCAGCCUUGACAUGCUCUCUAAUACUGUUUCGUCUUCAGUCCAUCUUUACUGUUGUCAUGGAAGAAAUUCCCACUUCUCCACUGAAGAACACAGUUUUCAUUUGAUUUACACCAAUUUUAAGAAACUGGGAAAAUAGGGGCCAGUAACAACCCUUGACAAGAGAAAAUACUCAUCUGAGCAGAAAAGCUGACACUAGAUUAAACUAGACCACUAUGAUUAAAAUAGCUGAAGAGAAACAGGACAACCUUGGCAUCGCGCACCACAGAAUAAAGUGUCCUGCCUUUACACAAGCUGAGAGAGGGAAAAAGACAAGGACAAGAUUUUAAGUUACUGCGUUGACUUAUGUAAUAACUUCAAAACACUUGACAAACAUUACAGGUCAACACUGAUCACAUUCCAUCUUUUGCAAUUCAUUUUUUCUUGUUCGAACAAAUAAAGAAUGACAUUAAACCUGAGUUUGCCACUAACCACAGUAGUCUACUUGUACAAUCAUUUACUGUUGCUCUAAUCCAAUGUACAUUUGUGUAAUGAUUUUCUCAUUAAAGUGCCCUUGUUUUCCCACAGUUAGCAAAGUGAGGGAUCCCAAAGAAGUUAAAAAUGAGCACCCCUCUUCCACUACUGCCCUACAAACUUAAAUUGUGCAGCAUCAAGUUAGGCUUGAAUUUUGCUUAAAGCUUUUCAGUUUGCCACUGCCUUUUGAUAAAUUAAAUUUGGGACUUUCAUCCAUAUCUCGCACUGUAACUGCACUAUAAUAUUGAUUCUUCUGUUUAUUCUAUUCUGUUCCAUUUUAGCUGUUUUUUUAUUAUCUUCUAUCUGAUUUUAGUCUUUUUAAAUCCUAUUUGUGUCUCUUUAUAUUCCCUUUUGCUUCUUUUUAUAUCUUGUCAUAAGGAAAGAUAU
Long non-coding RNA from Siniperca chuatsi (mandarin fish), 1259 nucleotides. RefSeq lists it as uncharacterized. NCBI's taxonomy places the organism in Eukaryota, Metazoa, Chordata, Actinopteri, Centrarchiformes, Sinipercidae. The transcript has 5 exons. The record is from RefSeq and is a predicted model, not a curated record.